RNAcentral lists this ribosomal RNA (509 nucleotides) under uncultured bacterium. Its description in RNAcentral is "partial 16S ribosomal RNA". It matches the Rfam family "Bacterial small subunit ribosomal RNA", at positions 30 to 523 of the family's 1533-position model. The record is from RNAcentral.
AUUGAACGCUGGCGGCAGGCUUAACACAUGCAAGUCGAGCGGAGAGAGGUAGCUUGCUACUGAUCUUAGCGGCGGACGGGUGAGUAACACGUGGGUAACCUGCCUGUAAGACGGGGAUAACUCCGGGAAACCGGAGCUAAUACCGGAUGAUAACGAGAAGCGCCUGCUUCUUUUUUGAAAGUCGGUUUCGGCUGACGCUUACAGAUGGGCCCGCGGCGCAUAGCUAGUUGGUGAGGUAACGGCUCACCAAGGCGACGAUGCGUAGCCGACCUGAGAGGGUGAUCGGCCACACUGGGACUGAGACACGGCCCAGACUCCUACGGGAGGCAGCAGUAGGGAAUCUUCGGCAAUGGACGAAAGUCUGACCGAGCAACGCCGCGUGAGCGAUGAAGGCCUUCGGGUCGUAAAGCUCUGUUGUCAGAGAAGAACAAGUACCGGAGUAACUGCCGGUACCUUGACGGUACCUGACCAGAAAGCCACGGCUAACUUCGUGCCAGCCGCCGCCGUAA